Molecule: transfer RNA, 73 nt
Filed under: Sporotomaculum syntrophicum
Lineage: Bacteria; Bacillati; Bacillota; Clostridia; Eubacteriales; Desulfallaceae
Also listed under: 1 other name
Rfam family: tRNA
About the family: Transfer RNA (tRNA) molecules are approximately 80 nucleotides in length. Their secondary structure includes four short double-helical elements and three loops (D, anti-codon, and T loops).
Source: Rfam by way of RNAcentral
GCCACUAUAGCUCAGGAGGUAGAGCGCAUCCUUGGUAAGGAUGAGGUCACCGGUUCAAAUCCGGUUAGUGGCU